CCGCCUAAUGUAAUAUAGUAUAAUUCGCUUGUGCGGGCAUCCAUUUUUUUCUGUUUAGAAGUGUCGAAAGGAAUUAACUACGAAUUCAGAGCUCCAAAGAUAUCCUCAAAAGGAAAAAGAAAGAAAUCCAGUAUUUUCACGAGUGUCAAGAAAAGAAAAACUGAAUUCGAAAUGAACUCGGGGAGUGACCGAGGAAAAGAUGGGGAACUGCCAUCGACGUCCAAGUGUCAAUCCCAAGAUGACGAAGGACGACCUCCCAAG
Uloborus diversus is the source of this 261-nucleotide long non-coding RNA. RefSeq lists it as uncharacterized. The record is from RefSeq and is a predicted model, not a curated record. NCBI's taxonomy places the organism in Eukaryota, Metazoa, Arthropoda, Arachnida, Araneae, Uloboridae. The transcript is spliced from 3 exons.